GAUGAACGCUGGCGGCGUGCUUAACACAUGCAAGUCGAGCGAAGCACCUUGACGGAUUUCUUCGGAUUGAAGCCUUGGUGACUGAGCGGCGGACGGGUGAGUAACGCGUGGGUAACCUGCCUCAUACAGGGGGAUAACAGUUGGAAACGGCUGCUAAUACCGCAUAAGCGCACAGUACCGCAUGGUACGGUGUGAAAAGCUCCGGUGGUAUGAGAUGGACCCGCGUCUGAUUAGGUAGUUGGUGGGGUAACGGCCUACCAAGCCGACGAUCAGUAGCCGACCUGAGAGGGUGACCGGCCACAUUGGGACUGAGACACGGCCCAAACUCCUACGGGAGGCAGCAGUGGGGAAUAUUGCACAAUGGGGGAAACCCUGAUGCAGCGACGCCGCGUGAGCGAUGAAGUAUUUCGGUAUGUAAAGCUCUAUCAGCAGGGAAGAAAAUGACGGUAC
RNAcentral lists this ribosomal RNA (450 nucleotides) under uncultured bacterium. RNAcentral's name for it is "bacterial SSU rRNA". It matches the Rfam family "Bacterial small subunit ribosomal RNA", at positions 28 to 478 of the family's 1533-position model. The record is from RNAcentral.